CCUACGGGAGGCAGCAGUGGGGGAUAUUGCACAAUGGGGGAAACCCUGAUGCAGCGACGCCGCGUGGGUGAAGAAGCGCCUCGGCGCGUAAAGCCCUUUCAGCAGGGAAGAAAAUGACGGUACCUGAAGAAGAAGCCCCGGCUAACUACGUGCCAGCAGCCGCGGUAAUACGUAGGGGGCCAGCGUUAUCCGGAUUUACUGGGUGUAAAGGGGGCGCAGACGGCGAUGCAAGCCAGGAGUGAAAGCCCGGGGCCCAACCCCGGGACUGCUCUUGGAACUGCGUGGCUAGAGUGCAGGAGGGGUAGGCGGAAUUCGUGGUGUAGCGGUGAAAUGCGUAGAUAUCAGGAGGAACACCGGUGGCGAAGGCGGCCUGCUGGACUGCAACUGACGUUGAGGCCCGAAAGCGUGGGGAGCAAACAGGAUUAGAUACCCUUGUAGUC
This 440-nucleotide ribosomal RNA is filed under the name uncultured bacterium. Its description in RNAcentral is "partial 16S ribosomal RNA". It matches the Rfam family "Bacterial small subunit ribosomal RNA", at positions 338 to 795 of the family's 1533-position model. The record is from RNAcentral.